GAACGGGUGCGUAACACGUGGGCAAUCUGCCUUAAAGUGGGGGAUAGCUCGCCGAAAGGCGAAUUAAUACCGCAUGUGGCUACCGGAGACAUCUUCGGGACGCUAAAGCCGGGGCAACCUGGCGCUUUUUGAGGAGCCCGCGGCCUAUCAGCUUGUUGGUGGGGUAACGGCUCACCAAGGCGUUGACGGGUAGCUGGUCUGAGAGGACGACCAGUCACACUGGGACUGAGACACGGUCCAGACACCUACGGGUGGCAGCAGUCGAGAAUUUUUCUCAAUGGGGGAAACCCUGAAGGAGCGACGCCGCGUGGAGGAUGAAGGUCUUCGGGUUGUAAACUCCUGUCAUUUGGAACAGUGGUUACGCGUUAACUGCGCGUGACUUUGAUAGUACCAGAAGAGGAAGAGACGGCUAACUUCUGUGCCAGCAGCCCGCGGG
Molecule: ribosomal RNA, 436 nt
Filed under: uncultured Verrucomicrobiota bacterium
Lineage: Bacteria; Pseudomonadati; Verrucomicrobiota
Description: bacterial SSU rRNA
Rfam family: Bacterial small subunit ribosomal RNA
Source: RNAcentral